This 715-nucleotide ribosomal RNA is filed under the name Firmicutes bacterium GM21. RNAcentral describes it as "bacterial SSU rRNA". It matches the Rfam family "Bacterial small subunit ribosomal RNA", at positions 71 to 771 of the family's 1533-position model. The record is from RNAcentral. Lineage: Bacteria; Bacillati; Bacillota.
GAAGGGAGCUUGCUCCCGGAUGUUAGCGGCGGACGGGUGAGUAACACGUGGGUAACCUGCCUGUAAGACUGGGAUAACUCCGGGAAACCGGAGCUAAUACCGGAUAGUUCCUUGAACCGCAUGGUUCAAGGAUGAAAGACGGUUUCGGCUGUCACUUACAGAUGGACCCGCGGCGCAUUAGCUAGUUGGUGAGGUAACGGCUCACCAAGGCGACGAUGCGUAGCCGACCUGAGAGGGUGAUCGGCCACACUGGGACUGAGACACGGCCCAGACUCCUACGGGAGGCAGCAGUAGGGAAUCUUCCGCAAUGGACGAAAGUCUGACGGAGCAACGCCGCGUGAGUGAUGAAGGUUUUCGGAUCGUAAAGCUCUGUUGUUAGGGAAGAACAAGUGCAAGAGUAACUGCUUGCACCUUGACGGUACCUAACCAGAAAGCCACGGCUAACUACGUGCCAGCAGCCGCGGUAAUACGUAGGUGGCAAGCGUUGUCCGGAAUUAUUGGGCGUAAAGGGCUCGCAGGCGGUUUCUUAAGUCUGAUGUGAAAGCCCCCGGCUCAACCGGGGAGGGUCAUUGGAAACUGGGAAACUUGAGUGCAGAAGAGGAGAGUGGAAUUCCACGUGUAGCGGUGAAAUGCGUAGAGAUGUGGAGGAACACCAGUGGCGAAGGCGACUCUCUGGUCUGUAACUGACGCUGAGGAGCGAAAGCGUGGGGAGCGA